This is a non-coding RNA of Myotis davidii, 66 nucleotides long. The record is from Rfam. NCBI's taxonomy places the organism in Eukaryota, Metazoa, Chordata, Mammalia, Chiroptera, Vespertilionidae.
GCCCAUGUGGCUCAGUGGUAGAGUGUCUCACUGAAGGGUCACAGGUUUGAUUCCUGGUCAAGGGCA